GAUGAACGCUGGCGGCGUGCCUAAUACAUGCAAGCCGAGCGAACAGAUGAGGAGCUUGCUCCUCUGACGUUAGCGGCGGACGGGUGAGUAACACGUGGAUAACCUACCUAUAAGACUGGGAUAACUUCGGGAAACCGGAGCUAAUACCGGAUAAUAUAUUGAACCGCAUGGUUCAAUAGUGAAAGACGGUUUUGCUGUCACUUAUAGAUGGAUCCGCGCCGCAUUAGCUAGUUGGUAAGGUAACGGCUUACCAAGGCAACGAUGCGUAGCCGACCUGAGAGGGUGAUCGGCCACACUGGAACUGAGACACGGUCCAGACUCCUACGGGAGGCAGCAGUAGGGAAUCUUCCGCAAUGGGCGAAAGCUUGACGGAGCAACGCCGCGUGAGUGAUGAAGGUCUUCGGAUCGUAAAACUCUGUUAUUAGGGAAGAACAAAUGUGUAAGUAACUAUGCACGUCUUGACGGUACCUAAUCAGAAAGCCACGGCUAACUACGUG
RNAcentral lists this ribosomal RNA (497 nucleotides) under uncultured bacterium. RNAcentral's name for it is "partial 16S ribosomal RNA". It matches the Rfam family "Bacterial small subunit ribosomal RNA", at positions 28 to 507 of the family's 1533-position model. The record is from RNAcentral.